GUUAAAAUCAUAUUUAAGCGAAAGAGUUCAGAUAGUCGAUGUAAAUGGUAAACGGUCUUCGGGUAAACCUGUGGGAAUAGGUGUUCCACAGGGUUCUAUUCUCGGUCCUUUCUUGUUUCUUAUAUAUAUUAACGAUCUACCGUUUGUGGUAGAUGAUAGCCAUGAGAUUGUAUUGUUUGCUGAUGAUACUUCACUUAUUUUUAAAGUGAAGCGACGUGCGGAUAUUGAUGACGAGGUAAGCAAUGCACUCUCAAAGAUAGUGCGUUGGUUUGAGACGAAUAAUCUGCACUUAAACAAUAAAAAAACAAAGUGUUUACGGUUCAUUACACCAAACACAGCGGAGGUACAAACCAACGUACUUAUAAAUUACCAGAGAUUGGAACUUGUGGACACUACGGUCUUCUUGGGUAUCACGUUAGAUAAAAAGCUUCAGUGGGGUCCACAUAUUACCCAACUAGCAGAUAGACUCAUCUCUGCGGCAUAUGCAGUUAGAAAGAUUAGAGAGUACACGAAUGUUGCGACCGCUAGAUUAAUGUACUUUAGUUAUUUUCACAGCAUCAUGACGUACGGUAUAUUACUAUGGG
Molecule: long non-coding RNA, 584 nt
Organism: Leptidea sinapis
Lineage: Eukaryota; Metazoa; Arthropoda; Insecta; Lepidoptera; Pieridae
Exons: 3
Source: RefSeq, a predicted model, not a curated record